Molecule: transfer RNA, 76 nt
Filed under: Pseudomonas viridiflava
Lineage: Bacteria; Pseudomonadati; Pseudomonadota; Gammaproteobacteria; Pseudomonadales; Pseudomonadaceae
Also listed under: 1 other name
Description: tRNA-Ile
Rfam family: tRNA
About the family: Transfer RNA (tRNA) molecules are approximately 80 nucleotides in length.
Source: RNAcentral
GCGAGUAUAGCACAGCGGUCAGUGCAAUUGACUCAUAAUCGAUUGGUCGGGGGUUCAAAUCCCUCUACUCGCACCA